Long non-coding RNA from Suricata suricatta (meerkat), 468 nucleotides. RefSeq lists it as uncharacterized. Lineage: Eukaryota; Metazoa; Chordata; Mammalia; Carnivora; Herpestidae. The transcript is spliced from 3 exons. The record is from RefSeq and is a predicted model, not a curated record.
CCAGUGCCACACUGCCCUGGAGUGUAGGCUGUCAGCAGGUUCUGAAGCUUGACGUCAAUCUGGUUCUGCGAUCCCUGGCCGAAGGAACAAACCCACGGUGGCUCCGGGGCCCCUCUGACAAGGGAGCAACUUUGCAGAAGGUCUAGCAGCUCGGUCUUAACAAGCUUCAGAAUCCCAAGGAAAUACCAUAUAAGACACAGCAAGAAGGCAGCCCCAUCUGAAAGCCAGGAAGAAAUUCCUCACCAGAAUCUCACCAGGCUGACGCCCUGAUCUUAGACUUCCGGUCUCCGGAACUGUGAGAAAACACAUUCCUGGCCAGGUCGUGUACAAAACAAGUUCCAAAGAGCAAGACACGGGUAACCAGAGGGCCUGAUGACCAGCCCUGGCCGGCCGUCAGCAUUCAUGUAACCUUUGGCAAAACACUCCCACCUCUGCCCAUACCUUAACUACUGAGAUGGUUGGACUACA